RNAcentral lists this ribosomal RNA (642 nucleotides) under uncultured archaeon. RNAcentral's name for it is "bacterial SSU rRNA". It matches the Rfam family "Archaeal small subunit ribosomal RNA", at positions 1 to 650 of the family's 1478-position model. The record is from RNAcentral.
UUCCGGUUGAUCCCGCCGGACCUGACUGCUAUCGGAUUGAUACUAAGCCAUGCGAGUCAUUGUAGCAAUACAAGGCAGACGGCUCAGUAACGCGUAGUCAACCUACCCUAUGGACGGGAAUAACCUCGGGAAACUGAGUAUAAUGCCCGAUAGAACACUAUACCUGGAAUGGUUUGUGUUUCAAAUGAUUUAUCGCCAUAGGAUGGGACUGCGGCCUAUCAGUUUGUUGGUGAGGUAAUGGCCCACCAAGACUAUUACAGGUACGGGCUCUGAGAGGAGUGGCCCGGAGAUGGGUACUGAGACACGGACCCAGGCCCUAUGGGGCGCAGCAGGCGAGAAAACUUUGCAAUGUGCGAAAGCACGACAAGGUUAAUCCGAGUGGUUUGUGCUAAACGAACCUUUUGUCAGUCCUAGAAACACUAACGAAUAAGGGGUGGGCAAGUUCUGGUGUCAGCCGCCGCGGUAAAACCAGCACCUCAAGUGGUCAGGAUGAUUAUUGGGCCUAAAGCAUCCGUAGCCGGCUCUGUAAGUUUUCGGUUAAAUCUGUACGCUUAACGUACAGGCUGCCGGGAAUACUGCAGAGCUAGGGAGUGGGAGAGGUAGACGGUACUCGGUAGGAAGGGGUAAAAUCCUUUGAUCUAU